AUUGAACGCUGGCGGCAUGCCUUACACAUGCAAGUCGAACGGCAGCACGGGUGCUUGCACCUGGUGGCGAGUGGCGAACGGGUGAGUAAUACAUCGGAACAUGUCCUGUGGUGGGGGAUAGCCCGGCGAAAGCCGGAUUAAUACCGCAUACGAUCUACGGAUGAAAGCGGGGGACCUUCGGGCCUCGCGCUAUAGGGUUGGCCGAUGGCUGAUUAGCUAGUUGGUGGGGUAAAGGCCUACCAAGGCGACGAUCAGUAGCUGGUCUGAGAGGACGACCAGCCACACUGGGACUGAGACACGGCCCAGACUCCUACGGGAGGCAGCAGUGGGGAAUUUUGGACAAUGGGCGAAAGCCUGAUCCAGCAAUGCCGCGUGUGUGAAGAAGGCCUUCGGGUUGUAAAGCACUUUUGUCCGGAAAGAAAUCCUUGGCCCUAAUACGGUCGGGGGAUGACGGUACCGGAAGAAUAAGCACCGGCUAACUACGUG
Molecule: ribosomal RNA, 486 nt
Filed under: uncultured bacterium
Lineage: Bacteria
Description: partial 16S ribosomal RNA
Rfam family: Bacterial small subunit ribosomal RNA
Source: RNAcentral